ACCUAGCGGCGAAUGGGUGAGUAACACGUGCUUAAUCUACCCUUCAGAUUGGAAUACCCAAUGGAAACAUUGGCUAAUGCCGGAUACGCAUGGAAUCGCAUGAUUCCGUUGUGAAAGGGGCCUCAAAGCCCCACUGAAGGAUGAGGGUGCGGAACAUUAGUUAGUUGGUAGGGUAAUGGCCUACCAAGACUAUGAUGUUUAGCCGGGUCGAGAGACUGAACGGCCACAUUGGGACUGAGAUACGGCCCAAACUCCUACGGGAGGCAGCAGUAGGGAAUAUUCCACAAUGAGCGAAAGCUUGAUGGAGCGACACAGCGUGCACGAUGAAGGUCUUCGGAUUGUAAAGUGCUGUUAUAAGGGAAGAACACUCAGAGGAGGAAAUGCCUUUGAGCUGACGGUACCUUGUCAGAAAGCGAUGGCUAACUAUGUGCCAGCAGCCGCGGUAAUACAUAGGUCGCAAGCGUUAUCCGGAAUUAUUGGGCGUAAAGCGUUCGUAGGCUGUUUAUUAAGUCUGGAGUCAAAUCCCGGGGCUCAACCCCGGCUCGCUUUGGAUACUGAUAAACUAGAGUUGGAUAGAGGUAAGCGGAAUUCCAUGUGAAGCGGUGAAAUGCGUAGAUAUAUGGAAGAACACCAAAGGCGAAGGCAGCUUACUGGGUCUAUACUGACGCUGAGGGACGAAAGCGUGGGGAGCAAACAGGAUUAGAUACCCUGGUAGUCCACGCCGUAAACGAUGAUCAUUAGUCGGUGGAGAGUUCACUGACGCAGCUAACGCAUUAAAUGAUCCGCCUGAGUAGUAUGCUCGCAAGAGUGAAACUUAAAGGAAUUGACGGGGACCCGCACAAGCGGUGGAGCAUGUGGUUUAAUUUGAAGAUACACGGAGAACCUUACCCACUCUUGACAUCUUCCGCAAAG
Molecule: ribosomal RNA, 912 nt
Filed under: uncultured Mycoplasma sp.
Lineage: Bacteria; Bacillati; Mycoplasmatota; Mollicutes; Mycoplasmatales; Mycoplasmataceae
Description: bacterial SSU rRNA
Rfam family: Bacterial small subunit ribosomal RNA
Source: RNAcentral